Molecule: ribosomal RNA, 301 nt
Filed under: uncultured archaeon
Lineage: Archaea
Description: bacterial SSU rRNA
Rfam family: Archaeal small subunit ribosomal RNA
Source: RNAcentral
ACGGGGUGCAGCAGGCGCGAAAACUCCGCAAUGCACGAAAGUGUGACGGGGCUACCCCGAGUGCCGUCCGCUGAGGAUGGCUUUUCCUUGGUGUAACUAGCCGGGGGAAUAAGGAGAGGGCAAGACUGGUGUCAGCCGCCGCGGUAAUACCAGCUCUCCGAGUGGUAGGGAUGAUUAUUGGGCUUAAAGCGUCCGUAGCCGGCUUAGCAAGUCUCCUGUUAAAUUCAGCGACCUAAUCGUUGAGCCGCGGGAGAUACUACUAGGCUAGGAGGCGGUAGAGGUCAACGGUACUUCCGGGGUG